CAGCAGCCGCGGGAAUACGUAGGGUGCGAGCGCUAAUCGGAAUUACUGGGCGUAAAGCGUGCGCAGGCGGUUGUGUAAGACAGGUGUGAAAUCCCCGGGCUUAACCUGGGAACUGCGCUUGUGACUGCACAGCUAGAGUAUGGCAGAGGGGGGUGGAAUUCCACGUGUAGCAGUGAAAUGCGUAGAGAUGUGGAGGAACACCGAUGGCGAAGGCAGCCCCCUGGGCCAAUACUGACGCUCAUGCACGAAAGCGUGGGGAGCAAACAGGAUUAGAGACCCCAGUAGUCCCUGUCUCUUAUAC
This 301-nucleotide ribosomal RNA is filed under the name uncultured bacterium. RNAcentral describes it as "partial 16S ribosomal RNA". It matches the Rfam family "Bacterial small subunit ribosomal RNA", at positions 509 to 807 of the family's 1533-position model. The record is from RNAcentral.